UGGGGAAUAUUGGACAAUGGGCGAAAGCCUGAUCCAGCCAUGCCGCGUGUGUGAAGAAGGCCUUUUGGUUGUAAAGCACUUUAAGCGAGGAGGAGGCUACUUAGAUUAAUACUCUAGGAUAGUGGACGUUACUCGCAGAAUAAGCACCGGCUAACUCUGAGCCAGCAGCCGCGGUAAUACAGAGGGUGCGAGCGUUAAUCGGAUUUACUGGGCGUAAAGCGUGCGUAGGCGGCUUUUUAAGUCGGAUGUGAAAUCCCUGAGCUUAAAUUAGGAAUUGCAUUCGAUACUGGGAAGCUAGAGUAUUGGAGAGGAUGGUAGAAGUCCAGGUGUAGCGGUGAAAUGCGUAGAGAUCUGGAGGAAUACCGAUGGCGAAGGCAGCCAUCUGGCCUAAUACUGACGCUGAGGUACGAAAGCAUGGGGAGCAAACAGG
RNAcentral lists this ribosomal RNA (430 nucleotides) under bacterium. Its description in RNAcentral is "partial 16S ribosomal RNA". It matches the Rfam family "Bacterial small subunit ribosomal RNA", at positions 355 to 776 of the family's 1533-position model. The record is from RNAcentral.